Molecule: unclassified non-coding RNA, 331 nt
Filed under: soil metagenome
Description: partial contains 5.8S ribosomal RNA, internal transcribed spacer 2, and large subunit ribosomal RNA
Rfam family: 5.8S ribosomal RNA (bases 1-120)
Source: RNAcentral
GAUGAAGAACGCAGUGAAAUGCGUUAAGUAAUGUGAAUUGCAGAAUUCAGUGAAUCAUCGAAUCUUUGAACGCACAUUGCGCCCCCUGGUAUUCCGGGGGGCAUGCCUGUUCGAGCGUCAUUUCACCACUCAAGCCUCGCUUGGUAUUGGGCAACGCGGUCCGCCGCGUGCCUCAAAUCGACCGGCUGGGUCUUCUGUCCCCUAAGCGUUGUGGAAACUAUUCGCUAAAGGGUGUUCGGGAGGCUACGCCGUAAAACAACCCCAUUUCUAAGGUUGACCUCGGAUCAGGUAGGGAUACCCGCUGAACUUAAGCAUAUCAAUAAGCGGAGGA